AAAUUGAAGAGUUUGAUCAUGGCUCAGAUUGAACGCUGGCGGCAGGCCUAACACAUGCAAGUCGAACGGUAACAGGAAGCAGCUUGCUGCUUCGCUGACGAGUGGCGGACGGGUGAGUAAUGUCUGGGAAACUGCCUGAUGGAGGGGGAUAACUACUGGAAACGGUAGCUAAUACCGCAUAACGUCGCAAGACCAAAGAGGGGGACCUUCGGGCCUCUUGCCAUCGGAUGUGCCCAGAUGGGAUUAGCUAGUAGGUGGGGUAACGGCUCACCUAGGCGACGAUCCCUAGCUGGUCUGAGAGGAUGACCAGCCACACUGGAACUGAGACACGGUCCAGACUCCUACGGGAGGCAGCAGUGGGGAAUAUUGCACAAUGGGCGCAAGCCUGAUGCAGCCAUGCCGCGUGUAUGAAGAAGGCCUUCGGGUUGUAAAGUACUUUCAGCGGGGAGGAAGGGAGUAAAGUUAAUACCUUUGCUCAUUGACGUUACCCGCAGAAGAAGCACCGGCUAACUCCGUGCCAGCAGCCGCGGUAAUACGGAGGGUGCAAGCGUUAAUCGGAAUUACUGGGCGUAAAGCGCACGCAGGC
RNAcentral lists this ribosomal RNA (586 nucleotides) under Escherichia coli. RNAcentral describes it as "bacterial SSU rRNA". It matches the Rfam family "Bacterial small subunit ribosomal RNA", at positions 1 to 576 of the family's 1533-position model. Lineage: Bacteria; Pseudomonadati; Pseudomonadota; Gammaproteobacteria; Enterobacterales; Enterobacteriaceae. The record is from RNAcentral.